This 401-nucleotide transfer RNA is filed under the name uncultured Microcystis sp. Its description in RNAcentral is "bacterial LSU rRNA". The stretch from base 134 to 207 matches the Rfam family "tRNA". Lineage: Bacteria; Bacillati; Cyanobacteriota; Cyanophyceae; Chroococcales; Microcystaceae. The record is from RNAcentral.
AAGGGAGACCUAAUUCAGGUAGGAGACGAAAAAAAGUAGUCCCUACCAAGAAUCAAUCCCAAAAGGUCGGAGCGAGGCAAAAUUGGCUUUCAAACUAGGUUCUGGGUUCACAUAAGACCUGAAUCAGGAACAAGGGCUAUUAGCUCAGGUGGUUAGAGCGCACCCCUGAUAAGGGUGAGGUCCCUGGUUCGAGUCCAGGAUGGCCCACCUGCACAGGUGGCAAAAACAAAGAAAAGAAGCUCCGAAUCAGCACCUUAUCUUACUCAUAUAGUAAGAGAGAAUGCUGGCUCUGAGUUCAGAGUCCAGAGGAACCUUGAAAACUGCGUAGAGCUAGGUGAAAAAGCCAAAAGAGAAGACCGCAAGGUCAAGCUAAUAAGGGCUAACGGUGGAUACCUAGGCAC